RNAcentral lists this ribosomal RNA (468 nucleotides) under uncultured bacterium. RNAcentral describes it as "partial 16S ribosomal RNA". It matches the Rfam family "Bacterial small subunit ribosomal RNA", at positions 28 to 507 of the family's 1533-position model. The record is from RNAcentral.
GACGAACGCUGGCGGCGUGCUUAACACAUGCAAGUCGAACGGAAAGGCCCUGCUUUUGUGGGGUGCUCGAGUGGCGAACGGGUGAGUAACACGUGAGUAACCUGCCCUUGACUUUGGGAUAACUUCAGGAAACUGGGGCUAAUACCGGAUAGGAGCUCCUGCUGCAUGGUGGGGGUUGGUAAGAUUCGGCGGUUGGGGAUGGACUCGCGGGUUAUGAGCUUCUUGGGGUGGUAGUUGCUUACCAAGGCUUUGACGGGUAGCCCGCCUGGGAGGGUGGACGGCGACAAUAGGACUAAGGUACGGACCAGACGCGUACGGUACGCAGUGGGGGAGAGCAUGGCACAGUGGGGGGAAGCCUGAUGCAGCGACGCUGGGUGCGGGAUGACGGCCUUCGGGUUGUAAACCGCUUUCGACUGAGAUGAAGAGUGAGUGACGGUAAUGGGUAAAGAAGCCCCGGCUAACUACGUG